CAGCAGGGGGGUUGGACUCGAUGAUCUUCAGAGGUCCCUUCCAACCUUGCUGAUUCUGUGAUUCCUAUGGGCUCUCAGUGGGAUUUUGGGCGUUCAGUGCAUUGCGAGGGGAGCCAGCAGCUGCAGGGAUCAAGGCAGCUCCAGGCUUUGCCCUGGGGCUAUCAGAGGGAUGUUUUUGGAGGAAGUCAUGAAGUUCCUUUGGGUUUUGGACGGUUAAUAUGCUUAGCACCAAGCAGUCCAGCCCAUACCGCCAGGGCUGUGUGUGAAAAUGCCACCCCAAAACGCAGCUGUCCACACAACAUGGAACCCCAGGAGGUGCCACCACCACAGUGUGGUAACCCACCUGGGUUUGAUGGGUGACACUGACAUUUUGCCACAUCCCCACGGCCACUGUGGGGACACCGCAUGCCCCAGCCACGGGGACAGUGCUGGCCGCCAUUUUGGGAAGUUUCUGGAGGUUUGAACCUGGAGUCCCAGGUGCUGGCUGACCAAGGAGGGAUGAACAGUUUGUGGUUCCACUCCUGCUGCUCUUCUGCAGACCUGGCUGGAGAUCUUCACCUUCUGCUUUUGAAAUCUGAUUCCCCUUGUCAAUGUGUUGUUUUGAUACUUCAGCCAUUCUACCUGCUUCAGUCUGAGUGCCUAAAACUGAGAGGCUUGUAGGCGAGACUGGAAAAAUUGACUUAAAUAGCAGAAGACCUGAGCUUUUCAUGCAUGUGCCCUGUGGGUGCUGACAUGUGAGAGACCCUUGUGCCUCCCUGUCUCCAACUCCAGCAAAUCCCAGCUGGUCCUCCCAGCAUCGAGGCUGAGGCGAGGAAAGCUUUCAUUUUCAGACAGAUUAGUCUUGUCCCUCUUUGUGGCUUUUCUUUCAAGUGAAAAUUCUGCUUGGAGAGAAGCGAUCACUGGUGAUGGUAGAACACUGCUUUGGUAAGGAAAAAGGGCUGAAUUCAAUAACACACACAAUAGAACUCAUUUGUGACACUAAGUGGGAAAAUGAUGCUGUUCAGCUUUGCUCACUCAUAUGGGCAUUGGAAGUAUAAAAACGAGUCAAAAUACAGAUUGAUUCUGAAAUCAGUUCUUUUUUUUUUUUUUUUUUUUUUUUAUAUCCUUUAAAACCAUGGACAGGAAUGUACAGCUCCACAAAAACGGAGGCCAAACAUACCAAACCAAAACAUUUCCUGGAAUGCUGCAUGACAGUUUUUCUAAGGUUAUUUCCUUUGAACCACAGUCAGUUUAAAAGUGUCUUCCAUUUGCAGUCAAAAUAAUAAUGGUACACAUUGCACACUCCUUGAAACACGAUCUUUGUCAUAGGCACUGUGAUUAUAUUUCUUUUCUUUUUAUUCUUACCAGUGAAAAAAAUAAACACAGUUGAAAAUAGACAGCUUUUUCCCCUUUGUCAAUGUGUUUAGGCUAUGUGGUUAAGUGGUACUGUCCCCAGCUAUUUAGAUGAAGAAACUUUAAGUUGGAGCAUUCAUUUUUGUGUUCUAAAAAAAGUUUGUGUAUGUGGUGUUACAUAUAUAUUUAUAUAUUAUUCACCAGCCCCAAAUCCAAAUUGAGUGUUUAUUAGUGAUUUUAUUGACAGCAGAAUCAAUUUUGCUGGUAUUUUAGUUGUCUUAUUUCAGUGAAUGGUUCAAGACUUUCAGCUGUUAAAAAGGUUUCACAAGACUCAUCCAAUGCAUUAGGAAUGCUCAGAUUUCAUGUCUACAUGUUAGGUGCUGUUUCAUGCGUAUCUACAGAUCAGUUUUAAGGUAAACAUAAUUUUAUGUGAUAUGGUGGUCAAUAGAAGAAAGUAUGAAAUCAAGUAUAACUCCAGAAUAGAAAAUAAUCUGUUUAAAUGAAGCUUGAUUGACUCUACUUGGUUAGUGUUCAGUAAAAAGUCUGAAAUAUUGUACUUGUGACUAUUAAAACUAGUUCUGGGAACCAAUCACUCCACGUUUAUUUUUGGACAUCUUAAUGUCCUUGUUCGCUAAAUGGCGAGGACUGAAAAGCAAUUUAACCAAUAAGUCAGGCACAUGAGUUGCAAAGGCAAUUCUUCCCUUGCAGUUAUUCUAACUAUCCAAGCUGGAUAUUCAUAGUGAACAGCAAACCAUGUCUCCAUUACCUUCAUUCCAUUUCUAAGUGCUUUCAGUACGGCCAGUUGCCCAGGAUUGCAUCUGCAGAUGGUGGGAGAGCAGUGCAGGGCACCGCCGGCUGUUCUGUGAGCUAAUUAAGGAAGACAAAGUGCUGCGACGCGGAUCCUACCCACAAGGACGGAAAGUUGCCCAGCAGCUAUAGUACCUCCUUAGAGCACUGGUGUUUGCAGAGUGAUGUGUUAUUCUCUGAAGCUGCCUACAAAUGGUUUUACAUUAAUGUGAACACAAGACUACUUAGUGAAGAAACUGAAAUGAAACCCCAACUUUGUGGUCAGUCUGUAUAGGGUAACAGAGGAGACUUUUUUAAAGGACUAUGAUUUGUAUUUUUUUCCCAAGUCACCCUUUUAUCUCAGUCCUGGGACAGAUGCUCACAUUUAACUUAGGAAGCCUCCUCUACUGUGAAAUGUGGUGUUCACUCCUUGCCUGACCAAGGGGUCAAACCUGCAGGAUGCGGGCAUGCUCUGGUCUCAGCACAGAGCACUGCCAGCAAGACUGACGGGAGGAUUGUCUUACCAGCAAGCAAUGUGGGGCUUUGUGUGACACCCAGCAAUAGGGUGUCACUGCUGCCUAUUCACCAGAAAUGCCUAUUAGUCAAAUGAAACUGAACUGCAAGUUGCAUGCUGUCCUUAGUGAGGACAGCUAGUGGGAAAGUCCAUUCUGAGAUGCUACAGACCAUUGACAAUUUAGAACAGGCUACCAGUUUACAUACAUGGCACAAUCUGCAAAUGUAUGUGACCAAACCCUACAGAGCCAUUUUGGCAUUAACAACAUGUGAAAAUAUUAUCAUACUAGCGGAAAGGUUUCUGGUAGUGAUCCCUUACUUAAGCCCCUGUCCCCUCUGCAGAGAAUGCAGAUAACAUCUCUUGCCUUAGCUUUGCUUCACUGUUUAUAAUGUUUUAAUUUUUUUUUAGUGUUUUACUUGGAAGAAAGUAAGUUUAUUAAGAUGAAAGAAAGCCUAGAUAAUCAUACACACAUACAAAACCUGCUCAGAAUAAUCCUCACCUGCUGGGGUAUCAAUUCUCUCUGAGGUCAGGAUUUCAAGGAGUUAGUCUCCUGAGCGGCUUUGGGAGAAAAGCUGCCAGAGUUAGCUGAGAUGAAAAUGCAGACAGGCUGACUUUACCUUCACUGUUUCACUAUAUAAAAUAAAGAGAAACAGCAUAGAAUUUAUAUUUAAAAUAUAAACAAAACCAAUAAUAUGAGAAGAUCAACGUGGCAGCCCUCUCACACCAUCCAUGCUUGGAUUCUAAUGCAAACAGUUGCUGCAGAAUAAGAUGGAGAUUUUUGCUUGUACACAUACAUAAUUUCGGACUGCAAGACCCAGCUCUGUUCUGUAACAGGAACACUUCAGACCAAGGUCAGAACUGAAAUUAAAGGAACAGAACCAGCUACUUUGCUAAAACCCGAUCUAUGAUGACAACUCUAAGAAGAGUUUGGAAGCAGCUUCACCUGUGCAAUAAUCAAGGAGAACAUGCAAUGAAGUAUAAAAAAUGAAGUUAGUUGGAAUCAAACUGCUUUAAUGCUGUUCAGAAAUUAUCCUUAUGGACAGAGGCAUUUCUGCUUGGAUCGCUCCAGCUAAAUUGUGAGUAACAGCUCAGUUCAAACCAUGAGCCAAAUCCUCAGAAACCUCCAAAAUUCAGCACUUGAAAAGGAUUCCAGAAUUUGUAAAUCACUUACUAAAAAAAAGUGAUCUAGUGCAGAUGACUAAAAUUUCACUUACAUGUGAGAGAUCUCAGAGAGAAAUGAAACUGAGGUAAGCUUCUCAGAUGUUGUGUCCUAGCAUGUCUCAAAAUCCAUUCCUCCUCUCCUGUGGAAAAAGCUGUGCCGUAGCCAGUGAAGCUCCCUACCUAUUCUAGACCUUUUGGCAUAUUAUUAUUUGCAUUUUGUUGUAUUCUUGUACUAUUAUUUCUAUUCUUACUUUCCAGAUAUUUACACAACUAAGAGCUUAUUCCAUCCACAUCAAAACGAGAUGUACUUAAAACAGUGUUUGCCAUGUAACUCUUUUGAUUGUUUCAUAAGCUUCGGCAUUAUUUGUAUUAUGUUAUUUAAUGUAGUGCACACUAGGGGUCUUAACCUUUGGAGACAUUUUAGUGUGAAUCAGAGGCAGAAAGCUUCACUUCAGAUGGUUUUUGGUACCCUGCAGGGAUCAGAGACUUCUGGUCCUGCUUGCACUGCUAAUCGUCCCAGAACAAGUGCUGACCACUACUCCUACUGCCAAGCCAUUCAUCCUUCAUAGGCAACAACAUGCAACUGGUCGAGGUGUUAAUUCAUGGGAAAACACCAGAGGACUUGAAACUAAAAAAAAGGAUUUAUCAUGGAGCCUACUGGGAAAAGGGAACCGCUGUCUCUGCCUGACCUGUGGCUGUUCUUUAUGUUCACCUUUGGCCACCUGAAUAUCCAGGUCAGACAAGUGGCAAUACUUUGUAUCAUAUGCACACAAGCAGUGGGAGUUAAUGUAUGGACAAAGAAACCUGAAGAGGAUCGCUGACUUGGUGACUGGAAAUGCUGGGAGCUGGUAACCGUGAAGGAAGGGCAGGGAAGCACCCUGCAGCACAGCCUGCACAAAUCCUCUCUUGAGGGAAACUUCUUCUGCAAGGGCUACUUACAGCAUGCAAAUGGACAUGUAUAGAAUUUUAAAGGUUUUAGGCCUUAAAUUUACUUGGUAGCUGUCCCUACUGUCCCAGAAAUUAGGCUGUAAAUUCUAUUCUUGAUUCCAAUGAUAAAGUAAAAUGAACGUGAAUAAAGAUGCUGAAUACUGUAAAUUCAGUGACAUCUGAAGCUACGAGACAGCACAGAAGUGGGCCUUGCAAUGCAAGAGCAAGGAAAAAGGACAAGAUACCCAGUCACUACAGUGAUGUGGUACAGCCCAUGGUCAGUGUUAAGGAAAAAUAAAUACAAAUUGCAUGUAGGUCUGCUCCUGGCAGUGUUACAGAAUAUAUUACUUUUCAAAUAUAUGACUAAAAGCUGUAGUACAAAUAGAGAAUUUCCAUGCCACUUACAUACAUUAGGUCCUAUACUUUAUGUUCUUCAGUCAUCAGUAAAAAGCUCUUCAUUACACCUAUAAUUGUUCCCUCAUAGAAAAAGAAAAACAAACAAAAACCUGUAGGUUGUUCUGCUGUUUAUUUUUAUAUCGGGGAAAAGUUUCACAAGAACAGCCAUAUGGGGUCCUGGGAAAUCACUCCCCUUUUAUAGGACUGCUGACCAAAGAGGAUGCUGCUAAAUCCUUUCGAGGAAAUAAGGCUGAGUGCAUCCUGUCAGUGUACCAUGAUCAUCCUGUCCCUAUUGAAGAUGUUGAAAAUGGUGCUGUAAUAAUAACAAAUCAAAACAUUAUUACCUUUGUUCAAGUGAACGAUAAAAGUACUAACAAUUUGGGAAUUUCUGCCCCUUUUCCUUUCAUCAAAUAUUACUAACAUGGUUGUUAAUAAAUUAAUGUAAGGUUUUUUUUUGGCAGUUUCAACAGAUAAACCAGUAUAUGGCUUUUUACUGUCAAGAUGAAAGCCCCUUUACACUGCACAGCAUGCACUGGGGAUGACUGCUUCCUCCCCCACUGCAGGUUUCCCCAGCUCUGGGCUCAGUGUUGGCUUCCCACUGCCAGUGAUACGCUCUGUGACCAUAUUUCUUACAAGAAACUACCAAUCUCUGUGGCCCAAUCCACUAACUGCUGUGUAAUAAAAAUGAAAAACACCUCGUGAAUAAGUUUACUGCUGUAAUAGCUGUGUCAUUUUUAUCUCAUGCGUGAACUUUGUUACUUAAAAUACAAAAAUCCUGUUUGAUAACGGUGAUUUGGAGGUGCCAUGACUAAAACCUGAAAAGUGAAUGUCCCAGUUGUUUUCACGUGGGUAGACAUCAAAACAAAGGGAGCUUGCUGUCAUAUUGCAGUAAUAACACAGCACAAAAAGAAAAAAGUGUGCAUCCCCUUAUAUUUUCAGCAAGAUAAAGAACUAUAUUCCUCUAUGAAUUGAUCUUUGUUUUUUAAAGCUGAAAAAUCUAUACUAAAUAUUUGCUUUUUCCCAAUCUGCUUGAAGAUGAACAUUUUAAAUUCAUGCCAAGAUAACAAAUCACUCAUAUAAACUCAUUGGUUUCCCAAGGGAAAUACAGUUUACAGGGAAAUUGUAUUUUAUUGAAAGGCAAUUGAUAUUUAUGCCCUUUUCAAAAACAGUUUUUAUUCUGGGUCUGCUCCUUCAAGCUUUAAUUUCAUUUGCUGCAGCUAGGACUCUGAAAGAGUUCUUCUUUGGUAUUCAUUUUCAUAACGUCUUUUUAAGAGCUCAAGUAACGUUCAAAAUUAGACUGAAGGAAUCUGGGGAUGGAUUGGGAAGAGGAAUCCAAUUUUUUUUCCUCCCUACAUGAGAAGUAGAUAUGAAUUAUCUGGUCGAACAUUUUGAUUCAGGAGCUAGUACAUGCUUGAUCAUAUACAUGCUAUAGUCUCAUUCUUUUUUUCUUUCUUUCUUUUUUUUUUUUUUUUCCCCCAAAUUUAAACCAGGUUCUUCAGAGGAUUUUGAUGAAUAACAUUAGAAUUAGCUACAUUUAAGUGGUGCUAAGUUCAUUCCUAUUGGGCCCCAGUCAAUGGUAUUCAGCCCCUAUAAGAGGAUUGAUGUGGCAAGCCAAGCACUUGGCCGACAAACCUUGUACUGCAUGUAGUGAGGGUGUUUGCACACUGAUAUGAGUCUGAUUUUCAUAUGCAGAAUGAAGAUAGCUCCAUAAAUCUAUGUAGAAGUCCCUGCAUCUUGUGAUAGGCUACUAAGCUUCAUGACACUAAACUGGACAUUGAGUAGGAGAGACUUGGGACAUGACUAAUAUAUCAUUAAUAUAUCAGCACUGAGUACAGCAGCUGAGAGCUUGGCUAGGUGACUAGAUACCAAAAGCAUGUUGAAGAGCUUUCUUCACUGGUAUGUUUGUUUACCUAAAUGUGAUCCUUCAAGAAUUAAAACAUUUCAGCUUUGGGUAAUAUGGAUGUACUGAAGAGUUUUUCAGUGUCUGAUGACAUGAGAUGUGCCCAUACUCACCCACAUUUCCUACUUCAAAUGUUGGGAUUGUUUGACUGCUUUUUAGGGUUAUUUUGGACUGUUUUGAAGAAAAAGAAAAAAUCAAAACAUUCCUCUCAUAAUUCUGCUCCCCAGCAUUACACUGAAUAGAUGCAGGCUUCAUCUGCUCAGUUCAGAGAAAGUUCACCUCCAUUUAUUUAGCUGUUCUCCUGGUUUACUCGAGUGUAGCACUGUGCGUGUGAAUUUUCACACCAGACUACACUUGAACUUCAUAGGUCAGAUAUAAUUUUUAAUUAUGUUACAGGUAAACGACGGAGUUCAGAGCCUCUUUUAGGCAGAUUACAGUCUGUUUCCAAGGCUAGGAACAGAUGCAAUUUUAGGAAUAAACUACGUUUCGCACUGAUACAUCCCCUCUGAUCUGCUGAGUUCAAUGGGACCAUAAGGUUCAGAAGUAAAGCAAAAUUUGGCCUACUAUUUCAGCUGUUUCAGUGCAACUUUAAGGAAUCUUUUGUGCCGUCUACGAAACUAAUUGGCAGACCUCAGAGAAAAUGUUGUCCCAUUCACUGUAAAGUAGGAGGGUCCAUGGGGGAAAACAGUUGCAUUAGAGAAACACACUUCACAUCAAGGCUACCUAUUUAGAUGUUUGAAAACCUUUUUCUUUUCCUCUGUAAACCAUGACAGUUUCAACAGGAUCUGAAAUGAUACUCUUAACAAAUAAUACGCUAGUCUGUCAUAUGGUUAAUAUUAACGUCUCUCUAUUCAAACAUGCUGAAAACUGAAUAGAACAGUUAACAUAUAACAGUCACACAUCCUUUGCUGAAUACAAGAUCGCAUCUCUAACAUGAACUGAAGAUAUCCUCACCAUUUCAGAUCUUCAUCUGUCAUUCAAUCAAACAUUUUAUUGUCUUAAAUACAUUGCUCUUGCCCUCCUUCUGGGUCUUUUGGGGGUGCUGAGUGAACACAUUCUCUCAAUAAAGGCAUUGCUUAUGAUAUAGUUCUUUCUUCAACAGAAAUCUUGCAGUGUGUUUCCAAUACAUUGCCAAAGGUGAGAUUGCACAGUUUGCUAGGAUUUGGGAGCAGGUAGGCCUUACAGUUGGAUUGAAAAGAUUUAGCAUUGAAACAGCUAUUUGGGCAGGAUUCUGCAUUUUACUGCAGAGAGGCCAUCUCUUGAAGAAGUAAAUGGUGAACAAUUAUCUAAUUGUGAGCACGCUUCACAGAUUAUUGACUCAGAGCUUUACACAGUAGCCAUUUUGUAAAUUGCAGGUAUCUGUACAGGGCUUUUGGGCAGAUGCAAGCUCACUUCGCUCAUGUUCUGAGCUGGCAAGAUGCAAACAGCUACCAGAAAAGUCACACAAAUGUACUGAUGUGAAAUUGAGACCCACCUAACACACCUCGUCUUUCAGAGGGUUUAUUUGGUGUGGGCUUGGUGCCAUGCUGACUGCAGGCAGCUCAGCUCAUGCCCAGUGAGAUUGUGCCCAGCCACCACAUAGUGCAGAAAUAUGUCAUGGAGAAACCGAUGCCAGCCUAAAGUCUCGUCUUACUGCUACAAGAAAAGCUCUGUAGCUUUGAGGAAGGGAGUCUGAAUGAAGCAUGCUCCACCCUGGGGCAUAAAGCAUAGUUUGCCCUCAAAUACACUUUUAUUGAAAACACACAGCAAAGAUUACAGCCAUAGAAAGUUUUGUAAACAAGACAAUUUCAUCAACUUUUAUCUUAAAAAAAAAUAAUCAAAAAAGCACAAACACACAUAAACAAAACAAACAAACAACAACCAAAACAAAAUAAAACAAAAGAAA
Long non-coding RNA from Cygnus olor (mute swan), 8901 nucleotides. RefSeq lists it as uncharacterized. The record is from RefSeq and is a predicted model, not a curated record. The transcript has 2 exons. NCBI's taxonomy places the organism in Eukaryota, Metazoa, Chordata, Aves, Anseriformes, Anatidae.